RNAcentral lists this transfer RNA (72 nucleotides) under Trichonephila inaurata madagascariensis. It matches the Rfam family "tRNA". From Rfam's summary of the family: Transfer RNA (tRNA) molecules are approximately 80 nucleotides in length. Lineage: Eukaryota; Metazoa; Arthropoda; Arachnida; Araneae; Nephilidae. The record is from Rfam by way of RNAcentral.
GGGGUUAUAGCUCAGUGGUAGAGCAUUCGACUGCAGAUCGAGUUGUCCCCGUUUCAAACGCGGGAGUCUUCU